CUACCUUCCUGCACGGCAGCUGGCAAUCCUGCAAUCACCUGCUGCUCAGCUGUUGCUGAUUCCCCUGAUCACGGCUGCAGUAUUUAGACUCGGUUGGAACCUGUCUUUGGCGCCAUAUCGUUACAGCUACCAAAGUGACCUACACCACCCGACCUGUUGCCUUUGGACCGCUGUUCCGCCAGCCGUUCGUUUCUCAGACCUAUCUCCCUGCUUGGAUUCCUGUGAGAGUUGUUUUGGACACGCUACACUCUGCCCACGCCCGCUGCAGUCCUGUGCACCUGUGCAGCUAACUGUCCCUGGCUGCUUUGUUUGUCCUGUGACGAUCAUUAAAAGACUUUCGAAACGUU
Long non-coding RNA from Perca fluviatilis (European perch), 347 nucleotides. RefSeq lists it as uncharacterized. NCBI's taxonomy places the organism in Eukaryota, Metazoa, Chordata, Actinopteri, Perciformes, Percidae. The transcript has 2 exons. The record is from RefSeq and is a predicted model, not a curated record.